Molecule: ribosomal RNA, 253 nt
Filed under: uncultured bacterium
Lineage: Bacteria
Description: partial 16S ribosomal RNA
Rfam family: Bacterial small subunit ribosomal RNA
Source: RNAcentral
UACGUAGGGGGCAAGCGUUGUCCGGAAUCAUUGGGCGUAAAGAGCGCGUAGGCGGCCCAGUAAGUCCGCUCUGAAAGUCAGGGGCUCAACCCCUGGAUGCGGGUGGAUACUGCUGGGCUAGAGUCCGGAAGAGGCGAGUGGAAUUCCUGGUGUAGCGGUGAAAUGCGCAGAUACCAGGAGGAACACCGAUGGCGAAGGCAGCUCGCUGGGACGGUACUGACGCUGAGGCGCGAAAGCGUGGGGAGCGAACAGG